GACGAACGCUGGCGGCGUGCUUAACACAUGCAAGUCGAACGGUGAACCUCUUCGGAGGGGAUCAGUGGCGAACGGGUGAGUGACACGUGGGCAACCGGCCCCCGGCUCUGGGAUAACUCCAAGAAAUUGGGGCUAAUACCGGAUGUUCACCGCUUCCCGCAUGGGUGGUGGUGAAAAGGGUUUCCGGCUGGGGAUGGGCCCGCGGCCUAUCAGCUUGUUGGUGGGGUAGUGGCCUACCAAGGCGACGACGGGUAGCCGGCCUGAGAGGGUCAGCGGACACCCUAGGACUGAGACACGGCCCAGACUCGUACGGGAGGCAGCGGUGGGGAAUAUUGCGCAAUGGGCGGAGGCCAGACGUAGCGACGCCGCGUGGGGGAUGACGGGAUUCGGGUUGUAAACCUCUUUCAGCAGGGACGAAGCGAAAGUGACGGUACCUGCAGAAGAAGCACCGGCUAACUACGUG
RNAcentral lists this ribosomal RNA (463 nucleotides) under uncultured bacterium. RNAcentral describes it as "partial 16S ribosomal RNA". It matches the Rfam family "Bacterial small subunit ribosomal RNA", at positions 28 to 507 of the family's 1533-position model. The record is from RNAcentral.